AAUUAGAUUAGUUUGAUAUUUAAGUUACUUAUGAAAAUUCAAAACUUAAUUAAAUAUUAAUAAAUUCAAAACGAAAUUAAAUCUCUAGUAGUUCUCUUCCCACUUUGUAAGCUUUAUUAAUUGAGAAAUAGGCCCAAUUUCCCACUUAUGAUACUACUAAGUGAACUUUAUUUUUUCUAUUCACACCUACUUUUUCUUGUUUCCACCACUCUCCGUUAUUCAUCGCCCUCCCCUCCAC
Molecule: long non-coding RNA, 238 nt
Filed under: Vigna radiata
Lineage: Eukaryota; Viridiplantae; Streptophyta; Magnoliopsida; Fabales; Fabaceae
Description: long non-coding RNA (VRAD_LNC007633)
Source: RNAcentral